GGGUGAGUAACGCGUGAGCAACGUGCCCGUAUGUGGGGGAUAGUCGAUGGAAACGUCGCGUAAUACCCCGUAACACACUUCCCCGCAUGAGGAGGUGUUGAAAGAUUUAUUGCAUACGGAUCGGCUCGCGUGCCAUUAGGUAGACGGCGGGGUAACGGCCCACCGUGCCGACGAUGGCUAGGGGUUCUGAGAGGAAGGUCCCCCACAUUGGAACUGAGACACGGUCCAGACUCCUACGGGAGGCAGCAGUGAGGAAUAUUGGACAAUGGCCGGAAGGCUGAUCCAGCCAUGCCGCGUGCGGGAGGACGGCCCUAUGGGUUGUAAACCGCUUUUGCGAGGGAGCAAUAAGAGUCACGUGUGGCUCGAUGAGAGUACCUCGCGAAUAAGCAUCGGCUAACUCCGUGCCAGCAGCCGCGGUAAUACGGAGGAUGCAAGCGUUAUCCGGAUUUAUUGGGUUUAAAGGGUGCGUAGGCGGUUUGCUAAGCGGGAGGUGAAAUGCCGGCGCUCAACGUCGGAAGUGCCUCCCGAACUGGUGGACUUGAAUGACUCUGCCGUGGGAGGAAUGUGUAGUGUAGCGGUGAAAUGCUUAGAGAUUACACAGGACACCGAUUGCGAAGGCA
RNAcentral lists this ribosomal RNA (620 nucleotides) under uncultured bacterium. RNAcentral's name for it is "bacterial SSU rRNA". It matches the Rfam family "Bacterial small subunit ribosomal RNA", at positions 104 to 723 of the family's 1533-position model. The record is from RNAcentral.